AUUGAACGCUGGCGGCAUGCCUUACACAUGCCAGUCGAACGGUAGCGGGCCUUUUGGUGCCGGCGUGAGGCGAACGGGGGAGUAAUACAUCUGAACGUGCCCGAGCUAGGGGGGUAACAAGUCCGAAACCUUGCUAAUAUCGCAUACGAUCUACGGGGGAGGACGGGGGAGCGCAACGGCUUUCGCGGACGGAGCGGCCGAUGGCAGAUUAGGUAGUUGGUGGGGUAAAAGCUUACCAAGACGACGAUCUGUAGCUGGUCUGAGAGGAUGAUCAGUCACACUGGGACUGAGACACGGCCCAGACUCCUACGGGAGGCAGCAGUGGGGAAUUUUGGACAAUGGGCGCAAGCCUGAUCCAGCCAUGCCGCGUGUAUGAUGAAGGUCUUCGGGUUGUAAACUGCUUUUGUACGGAAGGAAAAGCAUUCUUUUAAUACCGGAGGGUCAUGACGGUACCGUAAGAAUAAGCACCGGCUAACUACGUG
This 482-nucleotide ribosomal RNA is filed under the name uncultured bacterium. RNAcentral's name for it is "partial 16S ribosomal RNA". It matches the Rfam family "Bacterial small subunit ribosomal RNA", at positions 30 to 507 of the family's 1533-position model. The record is from RNAcentral.